AAGAAACAAUUAUGCAUUGUUGCUCUGAUAUAAUUUUAUUUACUAUAUUUUAGCGGUAAUUUUUAAAUAAAUCUUAUUGUCAUAUAAAUGAAAUAUUUCAUCUAGGUGCUCUCGUUGAAGUUCGCGUUACAUUAAAAAAUGCAUUUCAUUGGUCGGAACGUUUGCAAACUUUCAUUUCAGGUGUUCUCAUCGAGGUCCGCCUUCACGUUUCAAUUCAAUACACAAUAAGUCCAGUACGGUAAAAAGAAAAUCAAUAUUAGACCCUACGAUGUCCGAUUAAACAAAUAGAAUUUAGAAAAAUAACACACCAAAAGUAUCUUUCUUUUUUGCCGAUGAAAAUCAAAAAAUACUAUUUAUAUUACAACCAGGAUUUGUAUACUAUGCAAUU
Molecule: long non-coding RNA, 388 nt
Filed under: Mytilus galloprovincialis (Mediterranean mussel)
Lineage: Eukaryota; Metazoa; Mollusca; Bivalvia; Mytilida; Mytilidae
Source: RNAcentral